RNA transcript from Pocillopora verrucosa, 2047 nucleotides. RefSeq lists it as uncharacterized. NCBI's taxonomy places the organism in Eukaryota, Metazoa, Cnidaria, Anthozoa, Scleractinia, Pocilloporidae. The record is from RefSeq and is a predicted model, not a curated record.
AAAAGAAGUGAUAAGUAAUGUUUAAUAAACUGACAAUGCCUGUGACGCUAAUGAAAAGUGCAAGGCCAUUUGCAAGCGUUAAAGAACUUCUGACAUGUCUUUUAAUAGGUUUUUCUUUCGUUCGUGUAUCCGGAUGGGAAAGGGAAAAAAUGAUGAUUGCAUUCAAUUUCGUUUAUUUGUGCUGGAAACUCCGAUUUUCUCUGAACGGCCUUAAAACAAUCUAGGAAACUUCACGAGUAAGAAUUUCCUAUAUUUUGAGUCCCAAAAUAUCUAUGCUAGAUUCUCAUCCGAUGUAAAUUUUGAAAGCUCUUGCCACAACGUAUGUUUACCGCGGGAAUAAAAGAGUCUGGCGGGCACUAAGUAAACUAGCUUCCACGGAAAACAGCAAACUCUUCUGGCCAUGUUCACGGUAUAUAUUCAGUAUUUAUCGGCAUCAUCAACCAUUUAAAUCCUUUCAUCAAAGUAAACACUCAAACUCAAUGAAACGGUAAACAUUAACAGUAAAUAUUACGUUCUACAGCAACUUUACUAACGUUUAAUGGCAACCAAAUUUUAAAUCUUAGAAAAGCUCAUAUUUUGAUAUUAUUUAUAUUUUAUUGUUCGUUUCAAGUGGACCGUCUCGCUUCGAUGCUGAAAUAUGCGCUUUUCUGUUAACCAUAACUUGUUUAUAUUUUUCGUCUUUACAAGAUUAUUAGGGCUUUUCAAGGCGACAGCGAGACAGGGCGUCAAUAAUUAUGGAGUCCACAGUCAGACUUCACGUUCUUGGAAAAUACAACAGAGCCGCGCGAGUGCGAGGUGUCCGUGGAGGGACGGUGCAAUUGCGCUAAUGAGCGCAGCUCCCGUUAGAAUUGUUUCCUGGAUUUUCUUCAAUUUGCUUAUUCAUGAAGCGACGACUGGGUAAGACUGGAUACUAGUUACUUUUGAAGAAAUGGCAACCUUCACUCAACUGUUCAGAGGAGGUCAGUCAACCAGCUUAGACAAGAUUACGAAGAACAUCCGAAGGCCAGCCAUUUACAAUAGAAAUUAUCAUCAUAAGAUUCUAAGGAGAAAAAAGCAGAGCGCCAUUGAGGAAAAGGUUGAUAUCCAGAGUAUUUUAAGAAGUUCAGAAAAAAGUUCAAGUGAAUCAUCUAGCAUGAGGCACAGUGUCAGCGAUGCCAAUAGUCUUACUGCAGCCAAAAAGCCUUCUAAGAAUGUCGAUAUUCAAAUGUGGCAGAGAUCACAAGAAAGAACAUCCUUACUGAGGAAGGGUGAAAAAAGGGUGGCUAUUAUAGCAGUUGUGUCAAUGCUGAUAGGAUUUGUGGCCAUUAAAUCAUUUGUUUCUGUUGGUAAAAAAUGGAGAAUCUCUGGUGACUCAGUUGGGGAGCAGUCUUCAUAAGAGGUGAGUUACAGUACUCAGUCAAGACUGUCCUCUAAGAACUGUGAAGGAGAGCAAGAUGUGCAAACCAAGCUAAAAGACUGUGAAUGGUUUAAGUAAACAAACAGUUAACUAAGGUAACUUGAGAAACAUAAAGAGGAGAACUGCCAAGGAUGUGAAGCCUGGGUUUUAUUUUAUAUACAAUAAUAAUGCUUAAGAGUUGUUCCUUAAAUUAUAAAGAUUUAACUUUUUUGAGGAUGUAAAACAUGUCAGCUUGAAAGAUUGACACAUAUACAAGCACAGGUCUCCCAAGAACACAAAACAAUGAUUUGGGAUUCAGGUUACCUCCUGAACCAAUGAUAAGAGAUAUAAUCUGGAGUCACUUUGUCAAUGACAAACAGGCAUCAAGCAAAACUUUUUGUUGAUGCCUGUUAAGUUUCAAUGUUUUGCUGUGUGUAAAUACUAGAAGAAAACAUUUUUUACAAGCAGGAUAACAGCAUGGGACUUUGCAAGAAGUUAACUCUAAAUAAGCUUUCCUAUUUCUUUUGAAAUUUGGUGCAAAAUAAGGAUAUCUCAGGAUUCAAAGUUACAUUAAAAACAAUUUUUAUGCCUGUCUGCCCUAAAGAUGUCAGCCAUUUCAUGAUCAUUGUCAGUUUCUAAAGUCACAAAUGUAUCAAUAAAAUUUGAUGAGUG